Molecule: ribosomal RNA, 473 nt
Filed under: uncultured Desulfobulbus sp.
Lineage: Bacteria; Pseudomonadati; Thermodesulfobacteriota; Desulfobulbia; Desulfobulbales; Desulfobulbaceae
Description: bacterial SSU rRNA
Rfam family: Bacterial small subunit ribosomal RNA
Source: RNAcentral
ACGGGGCCCGCACAAGCGGUGGAGUAUGUGGUUAAUUCGAUGCAACGCGAAGAACCUUACCUGGUCUUGACAUCCCGGAGACCCUUAGGAAACUAGGGGGUGCUUCCAUCUGGAAGAAUCUGGAGACAGGUGCUGCAUGGCUGUCGUCAGCUCGUGUCGUGAGAUGUUGGGUUAAGUCCCGCAACGAGCGCAACCCUUGCCUUUAGUUGCCAGCAGUUCGGCUGGGCACUCUAAAGGGACUGCCGGUGUUAAACCGGAGGAAGGUGGGGAUGACGUCAAGUCCUCAUGGCCUUUAUGACCAGGGCUACACACGUACUACAAUGGCCGAUACAAAGGGCAGCGACACUGCGAGGUGAAGCCAAUCCCGUAAAAUCGGUCUCAGUCCGGAUUGGAGUCUGCAACUCGACUCCAUGAAGUUGGAAUCGCUAGUAAUCGUGGAUCAGCAUGCCACGGUGAAUACGUUCCCGGGCCUU